AAGGCAGCCUUAGAUGAAGCAGCA
RNAcentral lists this non-coding RNA (24 nucleotides) under Arabidopsis thaliana (thale cress). The record is from RNAcentral. Lineage: Eukaryota; Viridiplantae; Streptophyta; Magnoliopsida; Brassicales; Brassicaceae.